This 429-nucleotide ribosomal RNA is filed under the name Bacteroidota bacterium. Its description in RNAcentral is "Bacteroidetes bacterium partial 16S ribosomal RNA". It matches the Rfam family "Bacterial small subunit ribosomal RNA", at positions 355 to 776 of the family's 1533-position model. The record is from RNAcentral. Lineage: Bacteria; Pseudomonadati; Bacteroidota.
UAGGGAAUCUUCGGCAAUGGGGGGAACCCUGACCGAGCAACGCCGCGUGAGUGAAGAAGGUUUUCGGAUCGUAAAGCUCUUUUGUUAAGGAAGAACGAGUGUGAGAAUGGAAAGUUCAUACUGUGACGGUACUUUACCAGAAAGGGACGGCUAACUACGUGCCAGCAGCCGCGGUAAUACGUAGGUCCCGAGCGUUGUCCGGAUUUAUUGGGCGUAAAGCGAGCGCAGGCGGUUAGAUAAGUCUGAAGUUAAAGGCAGUGGCUCAACCAUUGUAGGCUUUGGGAACUGUUUAGCUUGAGUGGAGAAGGGGAGAGUGGAAUUCCAUGUGUAGCGGUGAAAUGCGUAGAUAUAUGGAGAAACACCGGUGGCGGAAGCGGCUCUCUGGUCUGUAACUGACGCUGGGGCUCGAAAGCGUGGGGAGCGAACAGG